Molecule: ribosomal RNA, 1241 nt
Filed under: uncultured Bacteroidota bacterium
Lineage: Bacteria; Pseudomonadati; Bacteroidota
Description: bacterial SSU rRNA
Rfam family: Bacterial small subunit ribosomal RNA
Source: RNAcentral
CAUGCAGUCGAACGCUGUAGCAAUACAGAGUGGCAGACGGGUGAGUAACGCGUGGGAAUCUACCCAGUUCUACGGAGCAACACAGGGAAACUUGUGCUAAUACCGUAUACGCCCUACGGGGGAAAGAUUUAUCGGAAUUGGAUGAGCCCGCGUAAGAUUAGUUAGUUGGCGGGGUAACGGCCCACCAAGACCACGAUGACUAGGGGAUCUGAGAGGAUGACCCCCCACACUGGUACUGAGACACGGACCAGACUCCUACGGGAGGCAGCAGUAAGGAAUAUUGGUCAAUGGAGGCAACUCUGAACCAGCCAUGCCGCGUGCAGGAAGACGGCCCUCUUGGGUUGUAAACUGCUUUUAUUCGGGAAUAAACCUAUCUACGUGUAGAUAGCUGAAUGUACCGAAGGAAUAAGGAUCGGCUAACUCCGUGCCAGCAGCCGCGGUAAUACGGAGGAUCCAAGCGUUAUCCGGAUUUAUUGGGUUUAAAGGGUGCGUAGGCGGCCUAUUAAGUCAGGGGUGAAAGACGGUAGCUCAACUAUCGCAGUGCCCUUGAUACUGAUGGGCUUGAAUGAACUAGAGGUAGGCGGAAUGUGACAAGUAGCGGUGAAAUGCAUAGAUAUGUCACAGGACACCGAUUGCGAAGGCAGCUUACUAUGGUUUUAUUGACGCUGAGGCACGAAAGCGUGGGGAUCAAACAGGAUUAGAUACCCUGGUAGUCCACGCCCUAAACGAUGAAUACUCGCUGUUGGCGAUACACAGUCAGCGGCUAAGCGAAAGCGUUAAGUAUUCCACCUGGGGAGUACGGUCGCAAGAUUGAAACUCAAAGGAAUUGACGGGGGCCCGCACAAGCGGAGGAGCAUGUGGUUUAAUUCGAUGAUACGCGAGGAACCUUACCCGGGCUUGAAAGUUAGUGAAGUUUCCAGAGAUGGAAGCGUCCGCAAGGACACGAAACUAGGUGCUGCAUGGCUGUCGUCAGCUCGUGCCGUGAGGUGUUGGGUUAAGUCCCGCAACGAGCGCAACCCCUAUGUUUAGUUGCCAGCACGUAAUGGUGGGGACUCUAAACAGACUGCCUGUGCAAACAGAGAGGAAGGAGGGGACGACGUCAAGUCAUCAUGGCCCUUACGUCCGGGGCUACACACGUGCUACAAUGGACAGUACAGAGAGCAGCAAGCUGGCAACAGCAAGCAAAUCUCAAAAAGCCGUUCACAGUUCGGAUUGGGGUCUGCAACUCGACCCCAUGAAGU